Molecule: non-coding RNA, 67 nt
Filed under: Flavonifractor plautii
Lineage: Bacteria; Bacillati; Bacillota; Clostridia; Eubacteriales; Oscillospiraceae
Source: RNAcentral
AGCCGAAACCGCCCGGCCAGGGCGGUCUGCAGGGAUAACCUCCCUGCACUGACGAUGGCAGGUUAUG